Molecule: ribosomal RNA, 497 nt
Filed under: uncultured bacterium
Lineage: Bacteria
Description: partial 16S ribosomal RNA
Rfam family: Bacterial small subunit ribosomal RNA
Source: RNAcentral
GACGAACGCUGGCGGCGUGCCUAAUACAUGCAAGUUGAGCGCUGAAGGUUGGUACUUGUACCAACUGGAUGAGCAGCGAACGGGUGAGUAACGCGUGGGGAAUCUGCCUUUGAGCGGGGGACAACAUUUGGAAACGAAUGCUAAUACCGCAUAAAAACUUUAAACACAAGUUUUAAGUUUGAAAGAUGCAAUUGCAUCACUCAAAGAUGAUCCCGCGUUGUAUUAGCUAGUUGGUGAGGGAAAGGCUCACCAAGGCGAUGAUACAUAGCCGACCUGAGAGGGUGAUCGGCCACAUUGGGACUGAGACACGGCCCAAACUCCUACGGGAGGCAGCAGUAGGGAAUCUUCGGCAAUGGACGAAAGUCUGACCGAGCAACGCCGCGUGAGUGAAGAAGGUUUUCGGAUCGUAAAACUCUGUUGGUAGAGAAGAACGUUGGUGAGAGUGGAAAGCUCAUCAAGUGACGGUAACUACCCAGAAAGGGACGGCUAACUACGUG